Allofrancisella guangzhouensis is the source of this 197-nucleotide non-coding RNA. Lineage: Bacteria; Pseudomonadati; Pseudomonadota; Gammaproteobacteria; Thiotrichales; Francisellaceae. The record is from Rfam.
AGCUGUCUGGGUUAUUUGUAAUUUGGUUACAAUCUUGAGCCGAUAGUUUUACUAAAGGGAGUUUUGGUGUUUUACCUAGAGAGCAAGCUUUGGUAUCUUUUAGAUAUUAGCAAAGAAGCCCAACGGUGGAACUAUGACACCCACUUGAUACCACAGGGAUCAAGAACAUUGAACCAAAACGGUAACCUGGAUAGCUA